Molecule: ribosomal RNA, 781 nt
Filed under: uncultured Neocallimastigales
Lineage: Eukaryota; Fungi; Neocallimastigomycota; Neocallimastigomycetes; Neocallimastigales
Description: partial large subunit ribosomal RNA
Rfam family: Eukaryotic large subunit ribosomal RNA
Source: RNAcentral
AGAGAGAGACAUGCGCGCAUAUCAAUAAGCGGAGGAAAAGAAACUAACUAGGAUUCCCUUAGUAACGGCGAGUGAAGCGGGAAGAGCUCAAAUUUGAAAUCUUCAAGGUUUUACCUUGACGAAUUGUAGUUUAAAGAAGUGUUUUCUAUUGGAGUUUUGGUAAAAGUUCUUUGGAAUAGGACAUCAUAGAGGGUGAGAAUCCCGUAUUUGACCAUUAUUUCCAACUUUGUGAUACACUUUCAAAGAGUCGGAUUGUUUGGGAAUGCAGUCCAAAAUGGGUGGUAAAUUUCAUCUAAAGCUAAAUACUGGCGAGAGACCGAUAGCGAACAAGUACCGUGAGGGAAAGAUGAAAAGAACUUUGAAAAGAGAGUUAAACAGUACGUGAAAUUGUCAAAAGGGAAGCGUUUGACACCAGUGUUGUUUUCUCGAAAAUCAAUUAAAAAUGAUUGGAUUUUGUGUUGUAUUGACUUUAUCAGCUUUCUGCACUUUUUUCUUGUCUUUUUUAAUGCACUUUUCGUUUAACAAGUCAACAUCAAUUUCUUUUGUUGUAAAAGGAGUCAUUGGAAGGUGGCUUUCAUCUUUCGGAUGAAAGUGUUUAUAGCCUUUGACUUCUGCAAUCGGAGAGAUUGAGGAUCUGCAGCGUAGAUCCUUCGGGGUUAGAUACAUUUGUGCUAAGUUAUAGCUUUUCAUAGACAACUUGUUGACUAUGAUUGAGUCAUUGUAGCUUACUCGCAUAUGCUAUUUUACCUACGCUUAGGAUGUUGACAGCAGUAUAGACUGU